Molecule: long non-coding RNA, 366 nt
Organism: Helianthus annuus (common sunflower)
Lineage: Eukaryota; Viridiplantae; Streptophyta; Magnoliopsida; Asterales; Asteraceae
Exons: 2
Source: RefSeq, a predicted model, not a curated record
AGGGUCGAAGAAAGGCGGGGAAUCAAGCCAAACAAGGGCAAUAGGAGCGCACGACUCCGGUAAAUCUCAUGCUUAAGGUUGGCGACUUGGAACGAACACACCACAAGGCCGAAUGCGCUUCCGAUAUCAAGAUUGUGUCAAACGGGUCAAAACUUGAAUUUCAAAGUGUUUUUGAAGUUAAAAUUUUAUACUCAUGUUAUUUUGCUAGUAGGCUAAUGGUAGAUGUAAAUUUGGUUGCAUGAAUAUGAAUUCGAACCGUAAGACGAAUUUUCAAAGUUUUAUACAUGGUUCGAUCUACUCGCAGGGGUAUUUUUGUAAAAGUAUAUAUCCUUGGCAUGUAAAUCAUUAAAAUGUAUUGUUUUGAUC